RNAcentral lists this ribosomal RNA (468 nucleotides) under uncultured bacterium. RNAcentral's name for it is "partial 16S ribosomal RNA". It matches the Rfam family "Bacterial small subunit ribosomal RNA", at positions 28 to 507 of the family's 1533-position model. The record is from RNAcentral.
GACGAACGCUGGCGGCGUGCCUAACACAUGCCAGUCGAACGGAAAGGCCCUGCUUUUGUGGGGUGCUCGAGUGGCGAACGGGUGAGUAACACGUGAGUAACCUGCCCUUGACUUUGGGAUAACUUCAGGAAACUGGGGCUAAUACCGGAUAGGAGCUCCUGCUGCAUGGUGGGCGUUGGAAAGUUUCGGCGGUUGGGGAUGGACUCGCGGCUUACCAGCUUGUUGGUGGGGUAGUGGCUUACCAAGGCUUUGACGGGUAGCCGGCCUGGGAGGGUGACCGGGGACAUUGGGACUGAGAUACGGCCCAGACGCCUACGGGAGGCAGCGGUGGGGAGUAUUGCACAGUGAGCGGGAGCGUGAUGCAGCAACGCCGCGUGCGGGAUGACGGCCUUCGGGUUGAAAACAGCUUUCGCCUGAGACGAAGCGUGAGUGACGGUAAUGGGUAAAGAAGCACCGGCUAACUACGUG